This 233-nucleotide unclassified non-coding RNA is filed under the name plant metagenome. RNAcentral's name for it is "partial contains small subunit ribosomal RNA, internal transcribed spacer 1, and 5.8S ribosomal RNA". The record is from RNAcentral.
UUUCCGUAGGUGAACCUGCGGAAGGAUCAUUACUGAGUGAGGGCCCUCUGGGUCCAACCUCCCACCCGUGUUUAUUAUACCUUGUUGCUUCGGUGAGCCCGCCUCACGGCCGCCGGGGGGCAUCUGCCCCCGGGCCCGCGCCCACCGAAGACACCCAGAACUCUGUAUGAAGAUUGCAGUCUGAGCAAAAACUAAAUAAGUUAAAACUUUCAACAACGGAUCUCUUGGUUCCG